GAGUUUGAUCAUGGCUCAGGAUGAACGCUAGCGGCAGGCUUAACACAUGCAAGUCGAGGGGUAUAGUUCUUCGGAAUUAGAGACCGGCGCACGGGUGCGUAACGCGUAUGCAAUCUACCUUUCACAGAGGGAUAGCCCAGAGAAAUUUGGAUUAAUACCUCAUAGUAUAACGACUCCGCAUGGAGAUGUUAUUAAAGUCACAACGGUGAAAGAUGAGCAUGCGUCCCAUUAGCUAGUUGGUAAGGUAACGGCUUACCAAGGCUACGAUGGGUAGGGGUCCUGAGAGGGAGAUCCCCCACACUGGUACUGAGACACGGACCAGACUCCUACGGGAG
This 335-nucleotide ribosomal RNA is filed under the name uncultured bacterium. RNAcentral's name for it is "bacterial SSU rRNA". It matches the Rfam family "Bacterial small subunit ribosomal RNA", at positions 9 to 347 of the family's 1533-position model. The record is from RNAcentral.